GAUGAACGCUGGCGGCGUGCCUAAUACAUGCAAGUCGAGCGAACAGACGAGGAGCUUGCUCCUCUGACGUUAGCGGCGGACGGGUGAGUAACACGUGGAUAACCUACCUAUAAGACUGGGAUAACUUCGGGAAACCGGAGCUAAUACCGGAUAAUAUAUUGAACCGCAUGGUUCAAUAGUGAAAGACGGUUUUGCUGUCACUUAUAGAUGGAUCCGCGCCGCAUUAGCUAGUUGGUAAGGUAACGGCUUACCAAGGCAACGAUGCGUAGCCGACCUGAGAGGGUGAUCGGCCACCCUGGAACUGAGACACGGUCCAGACUCCUGCGGGAGGCAGCAGUAGGGAAUCUUCCGCAAUGGGCGAAAGCCUGACGGAGCAACGCCGCGUGAGUGAUGAAGGUCUUCGGAUCGUAAAACUCUGUUAUUAGGGAAGAACAAAUGUGUAAGUAACUAUGCACGUCUUGACGGUACCUAAUCAGAAAGCCACGGCUAACUACGUG
RNAcentral lists this ribosomal RNA (497 nucleotides) under uncultured bacterium. RNAcentral describes it as "partial 16S ribosomal RNA". It matches the Rfam family "Bacterial small subunit ribosomal RNA", at positions 28 to 507 of the family's 1533-position model. The record is from RNAcentral.